Molecule: ribosomal RNA, 221 nt
Filed under: uncultured bacterium
Lineage: Bacteria
Description: partial 16S ribosomal RNA
Rfam family: Bacterial small subunit ribosomal RNA
Source: RNAcentral
CCCUUCAGAGGGGGACAACAGUUGGAAACGACUGCUAAUACCGCAUACGAUCUAAUCUCGGCGUCGAGGAUAGAUGAAAGGUGGCCUCUACAUGUAAGCUAUCACUGAAGGAGGGGAUUGCGUCUGAUUAGCUAGUUGGAGGGGUAACGGCCCACCAAGGCGAUGAUCAGUAGCCGGUCUGAGAGGAUGAACGGCCACAUUGGGACUGAGACACGGCCCAG